Molecule: small RNA, 758 nt
Filed under: Pongo abelii (Sumatran orangutan)
Lineage: Eukaryota; Metazoa; Chordata; Mammalia; Primates; Hominidae
Description: retained intron
Source: RNAcentral
AGAAAAGAAGUCAGUACCCAGAAAUCAUCUUCCUUGGAACAGGGUCUGCCAUCCCGAUGAAGAUUCGAAAUGUCAGUGCCACACUUGUCAACAUAAGCCCCAACACGUCUCUGCUACUGGACUGUGGUGAGGGCACGUUUGGGCAGCUGUGCCGUCAUUACGGAGACCAGGUGGACAGAGUCCUGGGCACCCUGGCUGCUGUGUUUGUGUCCCACCUGCACGCAGAUCACCACACGGGCUUGCUAAAUAUCUUGCUGCAGAGAGAACGAGCCUUGGCAUCUUUGGGAAAGCCACUUCACCCUUUGCUGGUGAUUGCCCCCAGCCAGCUCAAAGCCUGGCUCCAGCAGUACCACAACCAGUGCCAGGAGGUCCUGCACCACAUCAGUAUGAUUCCUGCCAAAUGCCUUCAGGAAGGGGCUGAGAUCUCCAGUCUUGCAGUGGAAAGAUUGAUCAGUUCGCUGUUGGGAACAUGUGAUUUGGAAGGGGUAAGGGGCACAGCUGCAGGCAUCGUGGGGGCGAGGUGGGGAGCAGAGCUGCAGAGCCCUCCAGCCCCGCCCUUUUAGUUUCAGACCUGUCUGGUGCGGCACUGCAAGCAUGCGUUUGGCUGUGCGCUGGUGCACACCUCUGGCUGGAAAGUGGUCUAUUCCGGGGACACCAUGCCCUGCGAGGCUCUGGUCCGGAUGGGGAAAGAUGCCACCCUCCUGAUACAUGAAGCCACCCUGGAAGAUGGUUUGGAAGAGGAAGCAGUGGAAAAGACA